UGCCUUAUGUUACGAAGUUUCCGUCUGUCACAUGUCCAUUGUCCUUGACCUCAUUUUCAUGGUUCAGUGACUACUUGAAAAAAAAGUUAAGAUUUUUUGUAAUGUUAAUUUCUCUCUUAUUAUGAGAAAUAUGAUAACUAUAUUUGAUAUGUGCGUACCUUGCAAGGUCCUCAUGUCCGUCAGACGGUUUUCACUUGACCUCGACCUCAUUUCAUGGAUCAGUGAACAAGGUUAUGUUUUGGUAGUCAAGUCCAUAUCUCAGAUACUACAAGCAAUAGGUCAAUUAUAUUUGGUGUAUGGAAAUAUUUUAUUAUGUACAUGUCAGUCUGGCAGGUUUUAUUUGAUCUUGACCUCAUUUUCACGGUUCAUUGCUCAGUGUUAAGUUUUUGUGUUUUGGUCUGUUUUUCUUAAACUAUAAGCAAUAGGUCAACUAUAUUUGUUGUAUGGAAGGAUUGUAAGCUGUACAUGUCUGCCUGGCAUGGUUCAUCUGACCUGGACCUCAUUUUCAUGGUUCAUUGGUCAAUGUUUAGCUUUCUUGGUUAAGUCUGUUUCUUAGAAACUAUAAGCAAUAGGUCAACUAUAUUUAGUGUAUUGAAUGAUUGUAAGGUGUACAUGUAUUUCUCGUUUGGUUUAUAUGACCUUGACCUCAUUUUUUUGGAUCAAGUUAAGUUUAUGUGAUAUUGUAGUAAAGCUUUAUAUUUAUCAACAUAAUAUCCAUGGUUAGUAAAGAAGGCGAGACAUUUCAGCGUGUGCACGCUUGUUCUUAUACUGUAUGUAAUAGGUCUACUAUAUUUGGUGUCUGGAAUGAUUGUAAGGUGUACAUGUCCAACUGGCAGGUGUCAUUUGAUCUUGAACUCAUGUUCAUGGUUCAGUGGUGAAAGUUAAGUUUUUGAGUUUGGGCUUUUUUUCUAAUACUAUAUGCAAUAGGGCAACUAUAUUUGGUGUAUGGAAAUAUUUUAUGAUGUACAUGUCAGUCUAGCAGGUUUUAUAUGACCUAGACCUCGUUUUCACGGUCCAUUGCUCAGUGUUAAGUUUAUGUGUUUUGGUCUGUUUUUCUUAAACUUUAAGCAAUAGGUCAACUAUAUUUGUUGUAUGGAAGGACUGUAAGCUGUACAUAUCUGCCUGGCUUGGUUCAUCUGACCUUGACCUCAUUGGUCAGUGUUUAGUUUUCUUGGUUAACUCUGUUUCUUAGAAACUAUAAGCAAAAGGUCAACUAUAUUUAGUGUAUUGAAUGAUUGUGAGGUGUACAUGUAUUUCUCGUUUGGUUUAUAUGACCUUGACAUCAUUUUCUUGAAUCUGUUAAGUUUAUGUCAUAGUUGUAGUAAAGUUUUCUAAUUAAGACUAUCAACAUAAUAUAAAUGGUUAGUAAAUAAGACGAGACAUUUUAGCGUGUGCAUCCUUGUUCUUGGUUUACUCUUGUGUUUUUUUUGGCAGUCGUCAGUCAAUUUUUCUUUUUUCUGUACGUUUUAAGAAGACAACUGUUAUCAGCUUUUCGUGACAUUGAAUGGUUGCCUUUCGAGAACUUGGCAGAAAUCAACAAAAUGAAAUCGAACUCUUCAUGACAUUUCUGGAGGUUAACAGAUUUAAUUAGUGCAGAUCUUAACUUUCUCUUCCAUUUGCCUGGUAUCAAACCUACUAGUAAAUGUACCUUCUUAACUGUCAAGUGUUUUCAAAAAAACUAUGGUUUAAUUUUACUUUGUGCUAUAUAUCGAUAAGUUAAGUAAGCCCUUUUCAACUAACUUUUAAAGUUUUUCAGUCUUCAUACCACGUUGUGCAUGUUCCUGUCCCAAAUCAGGAGGCCUUUAUUUUGAGCUUGUUGUUUGUUGCUGUAUAUCAUAUUUGUUUUUUUUCUUUAAUUGAUUUGUACAUAAAUCACGUUACUUUUUCUCGUUUGAA
Long non-coding RNA from Mytilus californianus (California mussel), 1896 nucleotides. RefSeq lists it as uncharacterized. Lineage: Eukaryota; Metazoa; Mollusca; Bivalvia; Mytilida; Mytilidae. The transcript has 2 exons. The record is from RefSeq and is a predicted model, not a curated record.